This 481-nucleotide ribosomal RNA is filed under the name uncultured bacterium. Its description in RNAcentral is "partial 16S ribosomal RNA". It matches the Rfam family "Bacterial small subunit ribosomal RNA", at positions 28 to 507 of the family's 1533-position model. The record is from RNAcentral.
GAUGAACGCUGGCGGCGUGCUUAACACAUGCAAGUCGAACGAAGCACUUUAUUUGAUUUCCUUCGGGACUGAUUAUUUUGUGACUGAGUGGCGGACGGGUGAGUAACGCGUGGGUAACCUGCCUUGUACAGGGGGAUAACAGUUGGAAACGGCUGCUAAUACCGCAUAAGCGCACAGCAUCGCAUGAUGCAGUGUGAAAAACUCCGGUGGUAUAAGAUGGACCCGCGUUGGAUUAGCUAGUUGGUGAGGUAACGGCCCACCAAGGCGACGAUCCAUAGCCGACUUGAGAGGGUGACCGGCCACAUUGGGACUGAGACACGGCCCAAACUCCUACGGGAGGCAGCAGUGGGGAAUAUUGCACAAUGGGCGAAAGCCUGAUGCAGCGACGCCGCGUGAGCGAAGAAGUAUUUCGGUAUGUAAAGCUCUAUCAGCAGGGAAGAUAAUGACGGUACCUGACGAAGAAGCACCGGCUAAAUACGUG